GUGGGGAAUUUUGGACAAUGGGCGCAAGCCUGAUCCAGCAAUGCCGCGUGUGUGAAGAAGGCCUUCGGGUUGUAAAGCACUUUUGGCAGGAAAGAAAUAGUGCGUGCUAAUACCAUGCGCGAAUGACGGUACCUGCAGAAUAAGCACCGGCUAACUACGUGCCAGCAGCCGCGGUAAGACGUAGGGUGCAAGCGUUAAUCGGAAUUACUGGGCGUAAAGCGUGCGCAGGCGGAUUUGUAAGACAGGUGUGAAAUCCCCGGGCUCAACCUGGGAACUGCACUUGUGACUGCAAGGCUAGAGUGUGUCAGAGGGAGGUGGAAUUCCGCGUGUAGCAGUGAAAUGCGUAGAGAUGCGGAGGAACACCGAUGGCGAAGGCAGCCUCCUGGGAUAACACUGACGCUCAGGCACGAAAGCGUGGGGAGCAAACAGGAUUAGAUACCCCAGUAGUCC
RNAcentral lists this ribosomal RNA (450 nucleotides) under uncultured bacterium. Its description in RNAcentral is "partial 16S ribosomal RNA". It matches the Rfam family "Bacterial small subunit ribosomal RNA", at positions 354 to 796 of the family's 1533-position model. The record is from RNAcentral.